GGGCCAUAUCUGGCAUACAAGUUGGGUUCAGCGGUCCUGUAAAUUCAAUGAUUUGAGUUGUGGAUAACUACUCACAGCGAUUUCUUAAACCGUGGGUCGGGAGUUCGAAUCUCCCAGGCCUACCA
Molecule: transfer RNA, 125 nt
Filed under: Terriglobia bacterium
Lineage: Bacteria; Pseudomonadati; Acidobacteriota; Terriglobia
Description: tRNA-Ser
Source: RNAcentral